Molecule: ribosomal RNA, 450 nt
Filed under: uncultured bacterium
Lineage: Bacteria
Description: partial 16S ribosomal RNA
Rfam family: Bacterial small subunit ribosomal RNA
Source: RNAcentral
GUGGGGAAUCUUCCGCAAUGGACGAAAGUCUGACGGAGCGACGCCGCGUGAGUGAAGAAGGCCUUCGGGUCGUAAAGCUCUGUCAUCAGGGACGAACGGCCGGUGGAGUGGAAAGCCACCGGAUUGACGGUACCUGAGAAGGAAGCCACGGCUAACUACGUGCCAGCAGCCGCGGUAAUACGUAGGUGGCAAGCGUUGUCUGGAAUUAUUGGGCGUAAAGCGCGCGCAGGUGGGAUCUUAAGUCCAUUUUUAAAGUUCGGAGCUCAACUCCGUGAUGGGAUGGAAACUGGGAUUCUUGAGUACCGGAGAGGAAAGCGGAAUUCCCCGUGUAGCGGUGAAAUGCGUAGAUAUGGGGAGGAACACCAGUGGCGAAGGCGGCUUUCUGGACGGUGUCUGACACUGAGGCGCGAAAGCCAGGGGAGCGAACGGGAUUAGAUACCCCUGUAGUCC